GACAGAGGGUGCAAACGUUGCUCGGAAUUACUGGGCGUAAAGCGUGCGUAGACGGCUAUCUAAGUCGGGUGUGAAAGCCCCGGGCUCAACCUGGGAAUUGCAUUCGAGACUGAAUAGCUAGGGUGCGGUAGAGGGAAGCGGAAUUUCCGGUGUAGCGGUGAAAUGCGUAGAUAUCGGAAGGAACAUCAGUGGCGAAAGCGGCUUCCUGGACCAGCACCGACGUUCAGGCACGAAAGCGUGGGGAGCAAACAGG
This 253-nucleotide ribosomal RNA is filed under the name uncultured bacterium. RNAcentral's name for it is "partial 16S ribosomal RNA". It matches the Rfam family "Bacterial small subunit ribosomal RNA", at positions 524 to 776 of the family's 1533-position model. The record is from RNAcentral.